RNAcentral lists this long non-coding RNA (6252 nucleotides) under Brassica napus (rape). RNAcentral describes it as "long non-coding RNA (BNAP_LNC008059)". Lineage: Eukaryota; Viridiplantae; Streptophyta; Magnoliopsida; Brassicales; Brassicaceae. The record is from RNAcentral.
AGCCAAUUGUAUUUUAUAUAUUUUGAACUCUAUAGAUUGUUUAAUAUCAAAAUAAACAAUGCUAUAUAGCCCCUUACACAUUAUAAGCGAUGUUAUAGAAACAUUUAUUUCAUAUUGGAGAUAAAAACAUCAAGUUCAUCCAAUAUACAGACAUAUAGAAAAAAAGCAAAUGAGAAACAAACAUAGAAGACAAAAGUACAACACUCAUAUCUCAAACUCUCUCUUCCAGCAUCUUCUUUUCUUCUCUCAGGGCCUUGACACAUUGUUUGGGUAGUGAGCUACAAUAUGAUCAUAAACAGCAAGUGUAAGAAAAUCAUCAAGCUCACUUGCAGUACAUUGCUUUGUAAACUUCUUGCAGUUGUCCUUAUACAUUCCUUUCUUAAACUUAUCUUUACCAACUUCUUUCUCGAUUCUUUCCAUCUCUUCUUCCACAACUCUCUCAAACAACUCUUUGUUCACCCUGACUCCAAGCCCAUCUCCGUCCAACUCCACUUCAUACCUAAUCCAUUGCCAGUUCUGGACACGACUUAUCUCAGCUGGAGCCGCAUCUUCCAUCAGGUUAUAGCGUGGGACAGAUCCUGAUCGUGUUAGCCACACUGCUAAGUAUUCGAUCCCCACACGUCUGUUCAGCCUUAGACCCUCUGCUCUGAUCUGUACUGUUUAAAAUAAAAUAAAAACAUUCCAAUCUGCAUGGAUGCAUUCACAGGCCACAUGGGCAAUUAUCCAAACCAAAUAAAAUCCACGAAGCAUCUGCAAUAACAAAGCACAAAUGAAUUUGUAUAGCAAAAUCCAUGAGCGUUACAUUCGUUAUUUUUUUUUCACUUGACAUAUCAUCCAUACUCUUGCAAACUAUACAGUUGUUAAGGUUUUAAAAGAGACCACAAAUGAAUUAAGUGACUUAAGCCAUCUCCUAACUUCCUUACCUGAAUGUUCAUCGGCAUGAGAACCGGGAGACACUCUGAUAUCAACCUGAACAUAAGUAAAAGGAAACAGAAACAAUCACACAUAUAUAACAAAUGACCAUUGAAAAAACUUGUCUUUUUACUUAAAAGGAUAGUUGACCUUAUAGUGGAGAGGCAAGCAUUCUUUAAGCUUAGUUCUCAAACGCAUACCAAAUAUAGUUGCCAUAUAAUCCGUAUGGUCGGUGUAAACGUUAUCGUGAAUUGAUCACAUAACCAAAACCCACAAACUCACAAAUCAUUAAAUAUCAUGUACACACAAAAAAAAGCCUCACACUUUUGGAUCCAAAAUUAAACUUUUUUUUCUCACUAUCAUUGGGACUACACAGUGAGAUCAUUAAACAGAGGACUAAUAAUACUCACUGGACGCGAUUAAGCUUGUCAUCGAGAGUGAUGGAGUCUUCAGACAGAACACUUAGUUGCUCCAAGGAGUAAGGGUGUUCCAAAUCUCUUAUGUCUCUUACAUACUUUGUCUAUUUUCGUCAAAGAAUCCUAAAUAGCUCAAAAAUCCAAAAAAAAGAAAAAUAUCAAAAAAAACUAAUCUAACCGAAGUUAAAAGGAUACCAUAGAUGUCGAGAGGAUCAAGUGCAAAUCUAUUUGCUCAGAGCAAAUCUCCUUAUAAAAAAAAUUCUCAGGCCGAAUUCCGAUCUACAGAAUCAGUUACGACUUGAAAUUCAAAGGCGAAAGCGGAAACUUUACCGUGUUCUUCUGCUGCUGAGUACUUCUUGAUUCUGGCAGCUCUAAGAGAUGGGGAUUGUGUUAUAUGUGGACGUAUAUUUAUAGGAUUCAACUGAGAAGCUUCUGAAACGUAUCGAUGAAAGUUUAGUUGUAGUUGUUAGAAUUAAAGGCUGAUAUAUGGAUUGAUUAUCUUCGCUAACUGAAACGGUAAACGUAGGGGCGUUUUUUUUUUUUUUUUUUUUUUAACCGCAAUAAUUUUAUUAACUAAACUGUAAAAGGCGAGUACAAGUACUGAAUCAACCAAACAGGAAGAAAAUCAAAGAAUUGAUAUUCAAAGGCGAAAGCGGAAACUUUACCGUGUUCUUCUGCUGCUGAGUACUUCUUGAUUCUGGCAGCUCUAAGAGAUGGGGAUUGUGUUAUAUGUGGACGUAUAUUUAUAGGAUUCAACUGAGAAGCUUCUGAAACGUAUCGAUGAAAGUUUAGUUGUAGUUGUUAGAAUUAAAGGCUGAUAUAUGGAUUGAUUAUCUUCGCUAACUGAAACGGUAAACGUAGGGGCGGGAUGACUAUGACAUCAUCGUGCUUAUUUAGGUUUUUGUCAACAAUUUAUGUUGUAAAAAAAUUAAAAAAAUUGUGGAACCCAAAAUAUGCCAUGUGGACACUUUUAGAGGGAGAGAAUAUGUAAUGGGCUCCGACCAAUACGUAAAACCAAGAGAAUAUGUAAUGGGCUCCGACCAAUAUGCCAUGUUGAUUUUUUUUUAAAUUUUAAGUCCAGUCCAAAAUGACAUGGCAUAUUGAUUGGUUCUCAAUAUUUUUGCCUAUGUGGCAAGGUUUAGGAGAGAGAGAUUUAGUCCCUUUUAUAUAGUAGGAUUCAUAUGAAUAAUCACAACUUUUCAUAUUUUAAUUAGUUAUUGAAAAUAGCACUUUUGUAAUGGUAAUAUAUACUGUAACUUUAAAAAAAAAAUCAACUAAUGCACAUUUUAUGAUGAAAAGACACAACAUAACAUUUAUUCACAAAUUUUAACAAUAUUUCAUAUUGAAGAGAUACAACUUUUAAUCAAAAGAUACCUUAAUGAACAAACACAACUUUUGACAAAAAUAAAAUCCUACUAUAUAAAAGGGACUAAAUUCAAAGCUUUUGUGACUAUCCACCUCAGCCAAAAUAUUCUCAUCCAAAAAGAAUUAGAAAUAAAUGUCAUUUAUAAGAUAAUUAACUAACAUACAACUUUUGAUAUUUCUAGAAAUUUUAAAUUUGUAACUACUAAUUUAUUAAUAGAAUCAUAUAUCUAUAUUGAAUUAUGUUCUAUUUUUAAUCGUUAAACUUUAAGGGUAAAUAAAUUAUUAAUUUAUAAUAUAUAUAGUUUAUAACUUUAUAUUGUAGUUAUAAAUAAAGAGAAAAUAAUCGGGAAAGGUGAAGAAGCUCAUGUAAAAUUAUGUAAUUAAAAUGGUAAAAUGGUGAGUAUGAUGACGUGAAUCUAAGAAAAUUUGUUGUAUAAAUUAUGGUGCUUUCUUCGUCCACUAUAAUGAUAGAGGGACAGUAAGAGAUUAAAGAGAAAAUAGUUUGGAGGUAGGGUUUAUCUUGGGAAGAUAUGGUUAUGAGCCUUGGCUUUAACUUCAUGAUCAGCAGAUUCAUAAAAGUGUAGGAGACAACUCCUUUCGUCACGUCAUGUGUGAUACAUCGAGCAUUCAAUUUUUUGUUUAUAAAUUUUGAUCCAAGAUUGUCUAAAUAGAUUUGAAAAGGUACGUGUAGUAAAGUAUGCAACACUUAAAAAGUGAAUAGGUAUGUAUAAUACAAAUAGAAAGUUGCAACCAUAGGACUUUUACAAAUCGAAAAUGUAUGAAUAGGUAGAUAUUAAUAGAAAUAUGCAAUUUUUCGUGACAUUUUUCACAACUUUUCAAAUUAAUUGUGAAAGGAUGCAACUUUUCAUCUUAAACAUUGCAUUAGUUCUUAUAGAUUGUGAAUAUAUAUAUAAAGAUGCGUCCUUUCAUAAAAAUAUGUCUUUUUAUAAAAAUUCAUAUGAAUAAUCACAACUUUUCAUAUUUUAAUUAGUUAUUGAAAAUAACACUUUUGUAAUGGUAAUAUAUACUGUAACUUUUUAAAAAAAAAUCAAUUAAUGUACAUUUUAUGAUGAAAAGACACAACAUAACAUUUAUUCACAAAUUUUAACAAUAUUUCAUAUUGAAGAGAUACAACUUUUAAUCAAAAGACACCUUAAUGAACAAACACAACUUUUGACAAAAAUAAAAUUCUUAUAAAAACACACAACCUUUAGAAUUAAUUGGGAUUGCUAUUAUUAGUAAAAGGAUGCAACUUUUCAUCUUAAACAUUGCAUUAGUUCUUAUAGAUUGUGAAUAUAUAUAUAAAGAUGCGUCCUUUCAUAAAAAUAUGUCUUUUUAUAAAAACUAGGAAUCGUCAACUCCGCGCAAGCGCGGAGAUCUGUGUUUGGUGUAUUACAGCAGUUCAUUAUGCUUGCAAUUGAAAGAUAACGUGUGUAUGUUACUGGUUAAUUUGUGUACAUUUUGAGCUACGAUUAAUGUAUUCAUAUAUAUAUAUAGUGUUAUUGUUUUUUUGUUGCUUAUUCAGAUCCGUUAUUCUUCUCCUGCAAAAUAUUAUGUUGUGUAUGUCAUCAACAGUCAUCUUUCUUUUUUGUAAACUAACAGUCAUCUUUCUACGAUAUUCUUUCUCAAAAGUCAGGACAACACUUCAAUAAUCAGGCAAUUAACUUGCAAAGUUUUUACAUUUAUCAUUCAUAUAUUUUUCACGGUUAUAAUAAAAACCUAGCAGCUCCAAAGAAUCAGAAGAUCAAAAAUAGAAAAAGAAAUAACAAACAGCCAAUUGUAUUUUAUAUAUUUUGAACUCUAUAGAUUGUUUAAUAUCAAAAUAAACAAUGCUAUAUAGCCCCUUACACAUUAUAAGCGAUGUUAUAGAAACAUUUAUUUCAUAUUGGAGAUAAAAACAUCAAGUUCAUCCAAUAUACAGACAUAUAGAAAAAAAGCAAAUGAGAAACAAACAUAGAAGACAAAAGUACAACACUCAUAUCUCAAACUCUCUCUCCCAGCAUCUUCUUUUCUUCUCUCAGGGCCUUGACACAUUGUUUGGGUAGUGAGCUACAAUAUGAUCAUAAACAGCAAGUGUAAGAAAAUCAUCAAGCUCACUUGCAGUACAUUGCUUUGUAAACUUCUUGCAGUUGUCCUUAUACAUUCCUUUCUUAAACUUAUCUUUACCAACUUCUUUCUCGAUUCUUUCCAUCUCUUCUUCCACAACUCUCUCAAACAACUCUUUGUUCACCCUGACUCCAAGCCCAUCUCCGUCCAACUCCACUUCAUACCUAAUCCAUUGCCAGUUCUGGACACGACUUAUCUCAGCUGGAGCCGCAUCUUCCAUCAGGUUAUAGCGUGGGACAGAUCCUGAUCGUGUUAGCCACACUGCUAAGUAUUCGAUCCCCACACGUCUGUUCAGCCUUAGACCCUCUGCUCUGAUCUGUACUGUUUAAAAUAAAAUAAAAACAUUCCAAUCUGCAUGGAUGCAUUCACAGGCCACAUGGGCAAUUAUCCAAACCAAAUAAAAUCCACGAAGCAUCUGCAAUAACAAAGCACAAAUGAAUUUGUAUAGCAAAAUCCAUGAGCGUUACAUUCGUUAAUUUUUUUUCACUUGACAUAUCAUCCAUACUCUUGCAAACUAUACAGUUGUUAAGGUUUUAAAAGAGACCACAAAUGAAUUAAGUGACUUAAGCCAUCUCCUAACUUCCUUACCUGAAUGUUCAUCGGCAUGAGUCUGAUAUCAACCUGAACAUAAGUAAAAGGAAACAGAAACAAUCACACAUAUAUAACAAAUGACCAUUGAAAAAACUUGUCUUUUUACUUAAAAGGAUAGUUGACCUUAUAGUGGAGAGGCAAGCAUUCUUUAAGCUUAGUUCUCAAACGCAUACCAAAUAUAGUUGCCAUAUAAUCCGUAUGGUCGGUGUAAACGUUAUCGUGAAUUGAUCACAUAACCAAAACCCACAAACUCACAAAUCAUUAAAUAUCAUGUACACACAAAAAAAAGCCUCACACUUUUGGAUCCAAAAUUAAACUUUUUUUUCUCACUAUCAUUGGGACUACACAGUGAGAUCAUUAAACAGAGGACUAAUAAUACUCACUGGACGCGAUUAAGCUUGUCAUCGAGAGUGAUGGAGUCUUCAGACAGAACACUUAGUUGCUCCAAGGAGUAAGGGUGUUCCAGAUCUCUUAUGUCUCUUACAUACUUUGUCUAUUUUCGUCAAAGAAUCCUAAAUAGCUCAAAAAUCCAAAAAAAAGAAAAAUAUCAAAAAAACUAAUCUAACCGAAGUUAAAAGGAUACCAUAGAUGUCGAGAGGAUCAAGUGCAAAUCUAUUUGCUCAGAGCAAAUCUCCUUAUAAAAAAAAUUCUCAGGCCGAAUUCCGAUCUACAGAAUCAGUUACGACUUGAAAUUCAAAGGCGAAAGCGGAAACUUUACCGUGUUCUUCUGCUGCUGAGUACUUCUUGAUUCUGGCAGCUCUAAGAGAUGGGGAUUGUGUUAUAUGUGGACGUAUAUUUAUAGGAUUCAACUGAGAAGCUUCUGAAACGUAUCGAUGAAAGUUUAGUUGUAGUUGUUAGAAUU